UCCGCCAGGGUACUACGAGCGCUAGCUUAAAACCCAAAGGACUUGACGGUGUCUCAGACCCACCUAGAGGAGCCUGUUCUAGAACCGAUAAUCCUCGUUAAACCUUACCACCCCUGGUUUUCCCCAGCCUAUAUACCGCCGUCGCAAGCUUACCCUGUGAAGGAUUAACAGUAAGCAAAAUGAGAUCAUCUCAAAACGUCAGGUCGAGGUGUAGCUUACGGGGUGGAAAGAAAUGGGCUACAUUUUCUGUAUCAGAAUAUACGAACAGGGUUAUGAAACUAACCCUAGAAGGUGGAUUUAGUAGUAAAAA
Molecule: ribosomal RNA, 310 nt
Filed under: Thayeria ifati
Lineage: Eukaryota; Metazoa; Chordata; Actinopteri; Characiformes; Characidae
Description: partial small subunit ribosomal RNA
Rfam family: Bacterial small subunit ribosomal RNA
Source: RNAcentral